Phacochoerus africanus (Common warthog) is the source of this 4010-nucleotide long non-coding RNA. RefSeq lists it as uncharacterized. The record is from RefSeq and is a predicted model, not a curated record. The transcript has 3 exons. NCBI's taxonomy places the organism in Eukaryota, Metazoa, Chordata, Mammalia, Artiodactyla, Suidae.
AAAAAUAAAUAGCAAAACUAUAACUAAAAGGCCAAACCUCUUGUACUUGGUCCAUAACCCUUGCAUCUUGUUCCCUCUCCAAACUUCUGACAGCUCUUUAGAACAGUGAGAUUCCAGGAUGGAUGUGAAGGUGCUAAUAGGCGGCAGACACACAGGAGGCCCGCGGCCAGUCUGAGUUGAAGCUGGAUGGGAACAGGUGCCCCUCGGGUCUCUAGAUGGUGUGUGAUCAUUAGAGCGAAAAACCAAAGUCGUCUCUGUCUUUUCCAAAGGAUGAGCUCAGCGUGUGACAAAGAUAGCAGCCUGCGUUUAAAUGACAACCACCAGCAAUCAGCCUUUAUGAGCCUGAGGGUCUGGGGAACAUCCGGGCAGCGCCCGGGCGGGCUGGUGGAAACUGGACUGGGCAGGUGGUGGGGGUCCUCAGGUCCAGGACAUAAAGACCAGCCCCCUGCCAACGAGCAACACGCUCUUUGGGCGUGGAUUCGGAGGCAUCUCAGGGUUCUCUGUUAAAGGCUUGGACACGCUCAUCUGCGAGCAAGGAAAUAGGACACACUUUGGAAAAAGCACCUGUGCCCUCUGUCCCCCACGGGAUUCGUUACGGUGAUCGUCAUUUCACCAGCUCCCUGGGCAGUCCCUGCAGGCACUCACAGCUCGGUGUCCACGCAGUAGUGUCCUGAUGGAGGCUGGCUCACCCUUCUUGCCCUCCUGCCCUGCUCACCCAGCUGCCUGCCUGUUACAGCUCAGGCACCAGAAAGAGACCCCUGUCCAGGUUCAAGGGGCCGGGCCGCUUCCCCUCCCCAGGCCUCGGUGAUCCUCAGCAGCGAAGCAGGCCAGUGAACGCAGUGAAAGUGGCCUGCGUGGCACGGUUACUUGGGAGGAGGGGGAGGAACCGGUGUGGAAGGGUUUUGUUCAAGCACCGCGUGGGGACGGAGGGACGUCUUCCAGAUCUGGGCAGCCAGAGCUGACCUCGCCUCUGACUGCCCAUCCCGGUGCUCCAGCGGCCUGCCCACCCGUCCUCGAUACCCUCCUCUCCUCUCGUGUAACAGCUCAAGGUUGGUAGAAAAACAGUGGACCUGUCUGAGCUCUGCCAGCUGAGUGAUCUCAGCCUGGUUCAUUGCCAUCUCUGGGCCUCUGUAACGUCUUCUGUAAAAUGGAGGAGCAGGUUUCUUCUAAUUCUCCUUUUCAAUUCAGAACAACUCUAAGAAGGAUAACUAACACACACAGAGUGGGCUUUGCCAAGAUGGACUCAUUCAAGCCUCACAAUCCAGAGAGCACAGUGCCCACAACAGAGAGAGGAGGCGACCGAGGCGGCGAAAGAAUCAGGUACCUUGCUCAACAUGCCUACAUGGUAGAGGUGGGGUUUGUACCCAUGCAGUCGGUCAUUCUGGCCCUCCGUGCCAGCAUCCUCCCUGCACAGCCCGGUGGAAGAGGGCUUGGUCACUGGAGCUGGACUGCGUGCCUGAUGGGACCCUGGGCAUAUUGCUUCUCCUUUCUGUGCCUCUGUUUGCCUGUCUAUAAAGUGACUAUGAGAAUACCCCUCCUUUCCUCAUGGGGUUGCAGGGAACUCUGCCGCGGGCUCCAUGGGCCAGGCCCUGAGCUGCCCCCGAGAAUUUCAGUUUGGCCUGAAUCCUCCCCUCCGGCGGCCAAGGAAACCGGAGAGAGAGGUUGAGUCACAUGCCCAGGUGGCACUACCUUGCGGAGCUGGGGCUGAAACCUAAAUGCCAUGACUUCAAAGUCCAUGCUUUUAACCACCCUGCACCACUUCCAGGUGAUGCCUUCAAAUUCCACCUUCAAAAUCAAACUCUGGACUGCAAAUUAGCUCCCCUCCCAGGCAGCCUGACUCACCACCAGCAUGGGCCUGAACCCCGCACCUUGUCGUUGACUCACCCCUUCCUGGCCAGUCCCAGCAUCAUGACUAACUGACCCCUGGAUGGAAAAACCACUCCAAGCCCUCCCUUCCUCCUCAGCCCUGCUGCCUGCCCCAGUCCAGACCCCAAAGCCGGGGUUGGUGGCUACUAGGUACCCCCAUUCCCAAGCGUAGCCUUGCAAAGGGACUGGACAGAAAUGCUCCUGGUCCCCCAGCCUUCCCAGACUACGGGGCUAAGGAGUCGUAGGGAGCGCUCUUUAGAGACAGCUGGCAUCGCUCCCCAACCUCAAGCCAAGGGAGGGGACUUCAGAGAGCAUGGUAUGUGUCCCCUGGGAUUCAGGAGGUAAGACAAGUAGGGACAAAGCCUAGCCUAAGUCCCCUGUUUCCACGAGGCAGGGACUGAGCUGCUUGGGGGACAGUCCGCACUCCCAGCAUUUGGGGGCCAGGAUGCAAGCACGUUUUCUGGGGCCCCAGGGGGAUCCUUCUAGGAUGCGGCUGGUCUGAGGUCAUUUGAAGUUAGGAUCCAGCCCCAAAAGGUUUGGGAGUGGGGAGAAACAAGAAAAGGACACGUGAUCCUAUCAGACUUCAUAUUUGGUGCCACUCCCCUGAUGACAGCUCUUGAAGGGGGUUGAGUGCUGGCCAGAGGAUGCUUUGCCCAGGUGGGUCAUCACUGGGGCUUGGGGGGAGGCAUCUCUGAAGAACCCACGAAAGUGCCCCUAAUGAGAAAGAGGCAGCUCCCAGGCACCUCACCCGACUCACCUGAGAUCAUUGGCUCUCCUGAGAACACCUGAACCAGCCAAGUCAGACCCAUCUUGUCCCCUCCCUCUCCUCCCUGCCCCAAGCAAAUAACAUAAAAUGAUAAAGCCCCAAAGUAACUAAACAAGCUAGAUACGCCUGAGAUCUCAUCCAGCGGUAGGGAUGCUUGGAUCAACACCACAGGUUAAAGGCAGCCACCGAGAAAGAGUGAAAUUAUUUCCACCAGCUGCCUGCCAAGCACCGCUCAUUCUGAGUUUCUCGCCUGCCGCAGCCUCUUAACAGGCCCUUUUGCUUUCUUCCCCUGUUCCUGCCCUGCCCUUGAACCGCAUCCCCCGUCCGCCAGGCUGAGGUCCGCCAGAACAGCCUUCCCUGAACUGUGCUUCCAUCCGGAGAGAUGGGCAUAUCCUAGGGGUCAUGAGCUUGAAUGUCUGUGUUUGAAUCUUAGCUCCUCGACGUGGUGGCUGAGUGACCUGAAACAAGUUGCUUAACCUCUCUGUGCUUCAGCAUCACUGCCUGCAACAUGGGGAUCGCGAUAACACGGGCUUCCCCCUGCAGAUGCACUGUCUGCAGAAUCCUGGGCAUCAUCAGAAAACUGCCUUUUUUAUGGAAGCUGGUGGCCACCUGCCCUGAAGGUCCAUCGUGCAUGAAGCAAACACACCCUGAACACCUGCUGGGUGCCAGUGACCCAGAUAUGAAGCAGACACGAUACCAGACCUCAAGAAGUUCCAGAACUUGUGGGGAAAUGCACGUUACAGAUCCUUGCAGUGGAACUUGGUGCUGGGACCACUGCAGUUCCGGGGCCAGGGAUCAAACCCGCACCACAAGAGUGACAACACCAGAUCCACCGGGAGCUCCCACAUUGCAGCUUUUGUUGGUUGGGUGGUGGAUUGGAGCAGUUUGCGGUUUACAGCAUACUGAGCCGAAGGUACAGAGACUUCCCACACGCCCUCCUGCCCCUACACAUGCGUAGCCUCUGCAUCUGAGUGGUACAUUUGUUGCAAUCAAUGAACCUACAUGGCCACAUCAUUAUCGCCAGUGUCCCUAGUUAUAUCAGGGUUCCCUCUUGGUGUUGGACAGUCUGAGUUUAGAUGCAUGUGUAAUGACAUGUGUGCACCAUUAUGGUACAAUGAGAGUCGCCUGCCUGCCCUAAAAAUCCUCUGCUCCACCUGUUCAUCCUUCUCGCCCCCAUAAUCCCUGGCACCUGCUGAUCUUUUCACUGUUUCCAUAGUUUUGCUUUUCCCAGAGUGUCACAUAGCUGGAAUCAUACAGCAUGUAGCCUUUUCAGACUGGCUUCUUUCACUGAGGGAUAUGCAGUUAAGGUUCCUCUGUGGGUUUUCAUGGCUUGAUGGCUCGUUUCUUUCUAUUGCUGAAUAACAUUCCAUCAUCUGGA